GACUGCGGAGAUCAUUAAUUACAACAAUAAGCCAAUGGGUCCAGGGGAGGCAGCAACCGCCGGCGGUUCUUCGCCGGGGCAUCCGUCCCGGUACCCGGCCGGCGGGGCUCCCUGGAUCAACGCUUUAUCGGGUGCGAUUGCGGCCCUCGGGGCCCCGUGACCUACCGCGCCCUUCGGUGACCUCAUGUCGGGCUUCGGUUGCACGGGAGCCAGCCCCGUGUGGUUAAGGCGUCAAGACCUUUUAACGCACGCAUGCCUGAAUCCUUUUACUUUACCAGUACCUCUCGUUCUCCUUCGGCGGGGCAACCUGCCGUCGGAACCGUCAAUAACCCUUUUUCGUGCAUCUAGCAUUACCUGUUCUGAUAACAAACAAUCGUUACAACUUUCAACAAUGGAUCUCUUGGCUCUGGCAUCGAUGAAGAACGCAGCGAAAUGCGAUAAGUAGUGUGAAUUGUAGAAUUCAGUGAAUCAUCGAAUCUUUGAACGCACAUUGCGCCCCUUGGUAUUCCAUGGGGCAUGCCUGUUCGAGCGUCAUCUACACCCUCAAGCUCUGCUUGGUGUUGGGCGUCUGUCCCGCCUCCGCGUGCGGACUCGCCCCAAAUCCAUUGGCAGCAGACCUUGCCUCCUCUCGCGCAGCACAUUGCGCUUCUCGAGGUGCUUGCGGCCCGCGUCCACGAAGCAUCAUUUACCGUCUUUGACCUCGGAUCAGGUAGGGAUACCCGCUGAACUUAAGCAUAUCAAUAAGCGGAGGA
RNAcentral lists this ribosomal RNA (752 nucleotides) under uncultured fungus. Its description in RNAcentral is "eukaryotic LSU rRNA". The stretch from base 381 to 534 matches the Rfam family "5.8S ribosomal RNA". Lineage: Eukaryota; Fungi. The record is from RNAcentral.